This 429-nucleotide ribosomal RNA is filed under the name Actinomycetes bacterium. Its description in RNAcentral is "Actinobacteria bacterium partial 16S ribosomal RNA". It matches the Rfam family "Bacterial small subunit ribosomal RNA", at positions 355 to 776 of the family's 1533-position model. Lineage: Bacteria; Bacillati; Actinomycetota; Actinomycetes. The record is from RNAcentral.
UAGGGAAUCUUCCGCAAUGGGCGAAAGCUUGACGGAGCAACGCCGCGUGAGUGAUGAAGGUCUUCGGAUCGUAAAACUCUGUUAUUAGGGAAGAACAAAUGUGUAAGUAACUAUGCACGUCUUGACGGUACCUAAUCAGAAAGCCACGGCUAACUACGUGCCAGCAGCCGCGGUAAUACGUAGGUGGCAAGCGUUAUCCGGAAUUAUUGGGCGUAAAGCGCGCGUAGGCGGUUUUUUAAGUCUGAUGUGAAAGCCCACGGCUCAACCGUGGAGGGUCAUUGGAAACUGGAAAACUUGAGUGCAGAAGAGGAAAGUGGAAUUCCAUGUGUAGCGGUGAAAUGCGCAGAGAUAUGGAGGAACACCAGAGGCGAAGGCGACUUUCUGGUCUGUAACUGACGCUGAUGUGCGAAAGCGUGGGGAUCAAACAGG